This is a long non-coding RNA of Oreochromis aureus, 570 nucleotides long. RefSeq lists it as uncharacterized. The transcript is spliced from 4 exons. The record is from RefSeq and is a predicted model, not a curated record. NCBI's taxonomy places the organism in Eukaryota, Metazoa, Chordata, Actinopteri, Cichliformes, Cichlidae.
CCUUAAUCAUGUUUGUGCUGUUUGGAGCAUUUAUCAUGCAGUUAGCUCCCAAAUAAUGUGCUUAUUGCAUGGUUUAUUGUGCCACAAGACUGAAUAAUAACUCUGAUGCUCAGUUCUGGCACUUGAGAGCAACUGACUGCAGCUCAAGAAUAACCUGACAAUCAUAUGACAGUAGAAAGGAAAGAAGAAGACAGAAGGAGGAAGCAGGGCUCCGGGGAGAUGAGAAUGAAUGCACUUGUUUAAGUAUUACAGAGAUGGCGUCCCGUGAGCCAUCAGGCCUGUAUGUCCAGGAGAAGGUGACGUCCUCCGAGGUCCAGCGCCAGGAGAAGAAAGAACAGGAGAGUCGGAUGUCAGAGCCCACCAAGGCGUGCCGCUCCCAGCCAGUGUAAAUCACUAUAGCCUGGGACUGCUCAGGCACUGGGAGACACAAAGCAGGAGGGCAACCGACGUCAGCGCCAAAAACGUCAGCAUGGUCUCUGGCUUCUACGGAGCUCCCAAAAGACUGAUGCUGCAGACCCGACUGGAGUCGGUCGAGGAAGAGUCCCUCUCUGGAGGGAGCGUGAGUGGAAG